Molecule: unclassified non-coding RNA, 264 nt
Filed under: Hevea brasiliensis (rubber tree)
Lineage: Eukaryota; Viridiplantae; Streptophyta; Magnoliopsida; Malpighiales; Euphorbiaceae
Source: RNAcentral
GAAAGACGAGGGAUGGAGAUUGAAAGGGUUGAGGGAAAGAAAAAGCAAGGGUUUUGGAACUGUGAAGGGUUUUAAUGAUUUGAUUAAGUUAUGGAGCGAAUAUCGGGAUCUUUAAUAGGAAGAAGAAGAUAUCGUGCAGAGAUUUGAUUGGGUAAAUGCAUUUAUGCAUAUCAAUAGAAAGAAAUUGAGUAUGAGGGUUAUAGAUGGAGAGUAAGACUGAUAUAUAGAAAGAAAUUGACUCGCAGACGGAGACGAAGACUGCUA